RNAcentral lists this ribosomal RNA (1255 nucleotides) under Poecilimon affinis. RNAcentral's name for it is "eukaryotic LSU rRNA". It matches the Rfam family "Eukaryotic large subunit ribosomal RNA", at positions 1 to 946 of the family's 3401-position model. The record is from RNAcentral. Lineage: Eukaryota; Metazoa; Arthropoda; Insecta; Orthoptera; Tettigoniidae.
CACGACCUCAGAGCAGGCGAGACUACCCGCUGAAUUUAAGCAUAUUAUUAAGCGGAGGAAAAGAAACUAACAAGGAUUCCCUUAGUAGCGGCGAGCGAACAGGGAAAAGCCCAGCACCGAAUCUCGUAGGUUCACCCUGCUGAGAAAUGUGGUGUUUGGGAGGGUCCACUCAUCCCGGAGUCCUGCGGCGAGUUCAAGUCCUUCUUGAAUGGGGCCACGGCCCGCAGAGGGUGCCAGGCCCGUAGAGACCGCUGCGGCUUCCGGGAGGAUCCCUCCUUAGAGUCGGGUUGCUUGAGAGUGCAGCCCUAAGUGGGUGGUAAACUCCAUCUAAGGCUAAAUAUGACCACGAGACCGAUAGCGAACAAGUACCGUGAGGGAAAGUUGAAAAGAACUUUGWAGAGAGAGUUMAAGAGUACGUGAAACCGUUCAGGGGUAAACGUGAGAAACCCGAAAAUGCAUCAACCGGAGAGAUUCAAGUCUAUCCGCGCCUAGUCCCCUACCUUGCCAGAUGGGUCUGACCUCCCGCACGGAGCAAUCCGGCGUCGGUGUAGGCAACAGUUUUCACUCGGUAGGGUAGUGGUGGUUAGGUCGGGGGGCCGCACUUCUCUCCAUGUUGGACGUCGCGACCCGUUGGGUGUCGGCCUAAGGCCUGGGUGGUAGUCUGUUUGUCUGCGUCGUAAGGCGUGUUCGUCGGACAGGCCCCCAGUGUUCCCGGCCGACGGCUCGACGGUAUGUGUGCGCAGAGUUGAUUCGCCRCCUCUCGGGGUGGGCGUCCGGCCUCCGGCAAGCGCGUGCGCGUAGCAUGGAUGACGGACCUCUGGCCCGGCUCCGGCUCCGCACCGCUGUUGGUUCGGGUGUGCCUCGGACAGAAGAAUCUGUAGACUCUCGUCAGCGGCGCAAAAGCUUCGGGUAAUUUCACGACCCGUCUUGAAACACGGACCAAGGAGUCUAACAUGUGCGCGAGUCAUUGGGUUUAUACUAAACCUAAAGGCGCAAUGAAAGUGAAGGUCCCGCCUUGUGCGGACCGAGGGAAGAUGGGGCGUGCUUCUGUGCGACCCCCGCAUUCCCGGGGCGUCUCGUUCUCAUUGCGAGUUGAGGCGCACCCAGAGCGUACACGUUGGGACCCGAAAGAUGGUGAACUAUGCCUGGCCAGGACGAAGUCAGGGGAAACCCUGAUGGAGGUCCGUAGCGAUUCUGACGUGCAAAUCGAUCGUCGGAGCUGGGUAUAGGGGCGAAAGACUAAUCGAACCAUCUA